RNA transcript from Helianthus annuus (common sunflower), 3072 nucleotides. RefSeq lists it as uncharacterized. NCBI's taxonomy places the organism in Eukaryota, Viridiplantae, Streptophyta, Magnoliopsida, Asterales, Asteraceae. The transcript is spliced from 3 exons. The record is from RefSeq and is a predicted model, not a curated record.
AGACGCCAUAGGGUCAUUACAGGGAUUUCACCCUCUCCGGAUACCUAAUCGACAUCUAUCAUUCACUUGCAUUUAAUCAAAUCACUCUCCAGGUCUCCAUGUCUGAUCGUUAUCUUCACUUCUUCUUCAUUCUCACUCAAAAUCAUAGCUGCCCUCAAAUCCAUUCCUUUUCCUUCUAUGCCCUCAGGAGAUCAAGAAAACCCUAAUCGGCCUCAAUCGUCAGUUACGGCCUUUCAAUGUGCAGACCGUCAAUUAGGUAUCAAAGGGUUCGAUUAGGGUUUCCCAAGGAGGAACCGCCCCUCGCUUUCUGCUACACGUCCACCAUCCACGUCGCACGCCACAUCGGAAACUUCAACCGCCGCUUAGAUUUUACAGGUUCAUGUUUUUAGUUGUGUGUUUUUGGGGAUUCUCUGUGUUUAUUUGGAUUUGAUUCUAGAUUUCUCUGUGUAUUCCCCUUAAAUUGGAUAUCAGAUUCUUUUCAUGUUUUUUCUUUCAUUUCUUUCUUAGAAAUGUGAGAAUACUUGGUUCUUCAUGAUGGUGGUCGUGGGGUGUCUUUGUUUCAUGAGAUGCAUAACCUAUAAGGUUUCAAAACUUGAUUCAAGAUUGGAUUUUAUGAUGCGGUUUUGUUAAAAUUUUGAAUUAAGAUUGCGUCUUUAUGUUCUUUUUGACAUGGGUUAUGAAGAUGUGAUGUGAUUUUGGUGAAAGUUUGAGUUAAUGUUGGAUUUUUAUGACAUGAAUUAUGACGUUGUGAUGUAAUUUUGGUUCAAGUUUGAGUUAAGAUUGAAAUUCCUAUGAUCUUUAUUUCAUGGUUUAUGAAGAGGGCCUUAUUUUUGUCUUCUUGAAGUUGUUGAUGUAGAAAGGAAUUGGAGUAUGACCAUAGUUGAAGAGAAGCUGAAUUCAAUAUAUGUUUCGAUGUUAUUAUUUUGUAUGGUUUUACGCUAUCUAGAUGUUAUACCGACACUGACUGGAGCGAACCAAUAUCAAUCAGUGUAACACGCAUAGGCCAAAUAAAUCUUGAUAAUUUAAUUUAACUGGUAAAAUAAUAAUAAAUAAUGGUGAGAAAUGAUUGAAAAGUAAAUAAAUAGGGGUACAGAAACAAACAGUGAUUGACCUCCAAACUAGGAAAGCUUUAUUUUGAUAACUGAUGGUUUUUUUAACCACCAUUGCCGAUGAUCACCGUCUGGCUUUCAAUCUUCUGUCAUCUUGAUCGUUAUCUCUUUCACGUACAAUUAAAUCAGGUUCUGCAUAAGUGGAGAAGCAAUAUUGGUGCAUAGAUGGUUGCCUGGUUCAAGAAAGAAGAAGAAAUGGGUGCAUUUGUGGCUGCAAGGGGUCGCAUUGGCCACUGGCAUAUUUGGAAUUUGGACAAAGUUUCAAGGGACAGAAGGGGUUGUGGCUAAUUUCUAUAGCUUGCAUUUUGUUCGUAGUUUUGAAUUUUUAUCGUAAUAAUAUUUAGCACAUACUAUUCAUGUUAUAUUAGACUCUUGCUAAUAUUGUUAAUUUGGGUGCAGGAGGCUUGCUCUUAUAAUUGUAGCUGCCAUUAUGCUUCUCAUAGCUGUUCUCGGUCUUCGUAAGAUAUGCUUUUAUAGCUUUUCCGGCUUUAUUUCAAGCUUAAAAAUCCAAAAUUUUAAUACUUCGAACUCGAAUGUAACUAUAAAUCUAUAACAAGUCAUGUUUUGAGUGUUGGUUGCAGUACAGAAAGGUAUAUGUCUAUAACAAGUCAGGUGAACCUACAUUCAAGCGACCUCGUCUCCAAACACCAUCACUAUUGUUGUCAUUUAAGAUCAUGAUCCUGCCGAUGGCGUCUCAAUUGAUCCUUCUAACCUCAAGGUCAUAUCCUAAUUUUCAUAUUAAUGUUUUUUCUUAUUAUUAUUGAUUGAUGAUUGAUUGAUUCAACGAUAUCUAUAUUUCUUUUAUAAAUUUGAAGUUUUAUUAGAAAACCAUGGAUGGCGGCAGCUUCUUCCUCCUGAUUGGUGCGUCUUUAUACUUAAUUACUCAAUGUCUUCAUGUUUAUCAAUGACUGGGCAGUAGUUAUGCAGAACCACAAGGCAACUUACAUUGGUAUCUUUAGUUUUGCAGUUGUUUAAUUAUAAUAUGAGUUGAAUCUAUGUUAUGUUAUGUAUUGUAUCCUUGCAGUGGUUUUGCAUUUUGCACAUUCUGGGUGUCUAUUAAACUUGCCAGAUCUUCAAAGGUGUAUGCUGUAGUUGUAGCCUUUUUAGUUGUGUGUAGUCAUUUGGUAAUUUAAGCUGCAACUGUAGUUAGAGAAUAUAGAAUGGCUAAAAACUUUAUACAAAUAAAAACUUAUAGUAGAAACCCUUAAAUCUAUUGUUAAUACUCAUUAGGGUACACUCGGCACCGGUCGGGUACCCUGCGAGUAUUGUGAAUAGCUCGGCUACACCGCCGCAACCUCCAACCUGCUAGCAAUCAGGUAGCCCAAAUUGGUACCAUAACCAUCAAUGAUAAUUUGUGAAUUGAGAUAUUAGUUUGGUAUUCAAAAUAAAUUACGAGAAGCCUGCCAUAGCAUUUGCGCCGAAUAAAACAAAAGUACCCGCGGCAACGCGCGGGCAUUCCCACUUGUUGGUAUUGUUAGGUUUUGAAUUUGGGAUUAGUUUUUUAUGUCUGGUUGUUGUUAUUAUUAGUUAGCUUUAGGGGAAUAUAUGUGUUUAUAGUUUUGGUGAAAUGAGUUGAGUUGAAUUGUGUUAAUGGUUUUGUGGAGUUGCAAGCAAUUUUGUUUGAUUGAAUGUUGGUUUGGCAUUUUGCAGUGCUGCGAUCCAGGUAGAUGCUUCGGUUGCUCGCUUUGCACCACUGGAGAAGGAGUGUACGGAGAAGCAAUGCUCAAGCAAAAGGUAUUGCAGAGUUUUGUUACUUGAAGUUUGAUGCAAUUUUGGUCGAAAUGACAUGAUUGCUAACAUAAAUGAGUUGAGGUAUUGCUCGUUGUUGUUGUUGUUAUUAUUUGCAGUUUGCACAUUGCAGACCCAUUUGGUUUGAUUUGGGCAACUCUAAAUCCAAUAAGACAGAUACUCUUUUGUCUUUUGAACUAAAACCUUUGUUGUUUGUUGGAAACGCUUUUUUUUU